ACUAAGAACUGAAAUGAGACAUA
RNAcentral lists this non-coding RNA (23 nucleotides) under Cricetulus griseus (Chinese hamster). Lineage: Eukaryota; Metazoa; Chordata; Mammalia; Rodentia; Cricetidae. The record is from RNAcentral.